This 790-nucleotide long non-coding RNA is filed under the name Homo sapiens (human). Its description in RNAcentral is "HSALNT0140468". The record is from RNAcentral. Lineage: Eukaryota; Metazoa; Chordata; Mammalia; Primates; Hominidae.
CUAAUUUAGCUUUUAGUUGUAUAAAGAAAUAGAGAAAGGCUAUUUAUUAAAUGGUCUUUGAAACUUACACUACUAGCAAUUACCAACCAUUGGUCCUAAUGUUAAAACUGCUUUUUAGAAGUUUUUAUGAGUUUUUAACUAACCUCUUUUAGAUGAACAAAUCUUAAAAUGUUUGUUUAUUUUUGUGUAAGCCAUGAAGUAUUGUAUACAGUAUGUUUCUAAUGUGCUGUUUUUAAACAUCCAGAUUUUGUCACCAGAAGUUUAUCACAGACUUGUUCCUUUUUUAAAUUUCUAAUUUAUAUUUUCUAAAUUUUUUUAAUAGAUGAAGGUUAUUCUUUCAGCAGUGUCCUGUAUUAUGGAAAUGAAGCUACUCUUCUUAUUUUUGAUCUGCUGUUCUUCUGUGUUGUGGAUUUGGCUUGCCAAAAUUUUAUUUUAGCAUCCUUCCUUACAUAUCUACAACAAGAGAUUUUUAGAUAUAUCCGUAAUACAGUAGGACAAAAGAAUUUGGCAUCCAAAACAUUGGUGGAUCAAAGAUUUUUGAUUUAACUUCCUGAAUAAAUAACUUAAAGACUCAGUAUAAUCAUGGCCAAAAAAAAGUCAUGAUAUCAGGUUAGUUUGCCAUAUUUUUUAAAACUUAUAAUGCAGACUAUUCUGUUUUUGUUUUUUAUUUGCAGAAAGAUUUAUUUUUAUAACUUGGGAAUAUAUAACCUGAUAUAAUAGAAAAUACUGUUUUCCCAUUGUGUGUAGUAUUUAAUGCAGUAAAUAAUAAAUUAAUACUGACAGUGAGGCC